GAUGAACGCUGGCGGCGUGCCUAAUACAUGCAAGUCGAGCGAACGGACGAGAAGCUUGCUUCUCUGAUGUUAGCGGCGGACGGGUGAGUAACACGUGGAUAACCUACCUAUAAGACUGGGAUAACUUCGGGAAACCGUAGCUAAUACCGGAUAAUAUUUUGAACCGCAUGGUUCAAAAGUGAAAGACGGUCUUGCUGUCACUUAUAGAUGGAUCCGCGCUGCAUUAGCUAGUUGGUAAGGUAACGGCUUACCAAGGCAACGAUGCAUAGCCGACCUGAGAGGGUGAUCGGCCACACUGGAACUGAGACACGGUCCAGACUCCUACGGGUGGCAGCAGUAGGGAAUCUUCCGCAAUGGGCGAAAGCCUGACGGAGCAACGCCGCGUGAGUGAUGAAGGUCUUCGGAUCGUAAAACUCUGUUAUUAGGGAAGAACAUAUGUGUAAGUAACUGCGCACAUCUUGACGGUACCUAAUCAGAAAGCCACGGCUAACUACGUG
RNAcentral lists this ribosomal RNA (497 nucleotides) under uncultured bacterium. RNAcentral describes it as "partial 16S ribosomal RNA". It matches the Rfam family "Bacterial small subunit ribosomal RNA", at positions 28 to 507 of the family's 1533-position model. The record is from RNAcentral.